Molecule: non-coding RNA, 439 nt
Organism: Alligator mississippiensis (American alligator)
Lineage: Eukaryota; Metazoa; Chordata; Crocodylia; Alligatoridae
Source: the annotation of a RefSeq genome assembly
CUGGGCAGCAUCGAGUCCAACCCUCAGGAGAGCUCCCUCCAGACCGAAGAACAUGACCCACUGGCUAUGUUUUACUCUUGCUCUUGUAGCCGUCAGAGGUGUCCUCUCUGAGAUCCAGCUGGUGGAGUCUGGAGGAGCCAUAAGGAAACCUGGAGACUCCCUGCGCCUCUCCUGCAAAGCCUCUGGGUUCACCUUCAGUGACACCUGGAUGGCCUGGGCCCGGCAGCCCCCUGGAAAGGGGCUGCAGUGGGUUGGUGAAAUCAUUGGGGACUCAAAGACCAUCAACUAUGCACCAGCAGUGAAAGGGAGAUUCACCAUCUCCAGAGACAACACCCAGAACCUGCUGUACCUGCAGAUGGGCAGCCUGAGCCCUGCAGACACGGCCCGGUAUUACUGUGCAAGGGACACCUUUCCAUGGUUCCACAAGAGGUUUGGCUGA